This 253-nucleotide ribosomal RNA is filed under the name uncultured bacterium. RNAcentral describes it as "partial 16S ribosomal RNA". It matches the Rfam family "Bacterial small subunit ribosomal RNA", at positions 524 to 776 of the family's 1533-position model. The record is from RNAcentral.
GACGGAGGAUGCAAGCGUUAUCCGGAAUUAUUGGGCGUAAAGCGUCCGCAGGUGGCUGUUCAAGUCUGCUGCCAAAGCGCAGAGCUUAACUCUGUACAGGCGGUGGAAACUGAAGAGCUAGAGUAUGGUAGGGGUAGAGGGAAUUCCCGGUGUAGCGGUGAAAUGCGUAGAUAUCGGGAAGAACACCAGUGGCGAAAGCGCUCUACUGGGCCAUAACUGACACUGAGGGACGAAAGCUAGGGGAGCGAAAGGG